This 424-nucleotide ribosomal RNA is filed under the name Verrucomicrobiota bacterium. RNAcentral's name for it is "Verrucomicrobia bacterium partial 16S ribosomal RNA". It matches the Rfam family "Bacterial small subunit ribosomal RNA", at positions 355 to 776 of the family's 1533-position model. The record is from RNAcentral. Lineage: Bacteria; Pseudomonadati; Verrucomicrobiota.
UGAGGAAUAUUGGUCAAUGGGCGAGAGCCUGAACCAGCCAAGUAGCGUGCAGGAUGACGGCCCUAUGGGUUGUAAACUGCUUUUAUAUGGGAAUAAAGUGAGGGACGUGUCCCUUAUUGCAUGUACCAUAUGAAUAAGGACCGGCUAAAUCCGUGCCAGCAGCCGCGGUAAUACGGAAGGUCCAGGCGUUAUCCGGAUUUAUUGGGUUUAAAGGGAGCGUAGGCCGUUUGGUAAGCGUGUUGUGAAAUGUAGGAGCUCAACUUCUAGAUUGCAGCGCGAACUGUCAGACUUGAGUGCGCACAACGUAGGCGGAAUUCAUGGUGUAGCGGUGAAAUGCUUAGAUAUCAUGAAGAACUCCGAUUGCGAAGGCAGCUUACGGGAGCGCAACUGACGCUGAAGCUCGAAGGUGCGGGUAUCGAACAGG